UGCUGAUAGUGUGGUAGCCUCU
This 22-nucleotide non-coding RNA is filed under the name Mus musculus (house mouse). Lineage: Eukaryota; Metazoa; Chordata; Mammalia; Rodentia; Muridae. The record is from RNAcentral.